AGAGUUUGAUCAUGGCUCAGAAUGGACGCUGGCGGCGUGCCUAACACAUGCAAGUCGUACGAGAAAUCCCGAGCUUGCUUGGGAGAGUAAAGUGGCGCACGGGUGAGUAACGCGUGGGUAACCCACCUUCGAAUCUGGGAUAACUCCGCGAAAGCGGUGCUAAUACCGGAUAAGACCACAGCCGUUUCGGCGGCAGAGGUAAAAGCUGACCUCUCCAUGGAAGUUAGCGUUCGAGGACGGGCCCGCGUCCUAUCAGCUUGUUGGUGGGGUAAAGGCCUACCAAGGCAGCGACGGGUAGCUGGUCUGAGAGGAUGAUCAGCCACACUGGAACUGGAACACGGUCCAGACUCCUACGGGAGGCAGCAGUGAGGAAUUUUGCGCAAUGGGGGAAACCCUGACGCAGCAACGCCGCGUGGGUGAAGAAGGCUUUCGGGUCGUAAAGCCCUGUCAGGUGGGAAGAAACCCUUCAGCACUAAUAAUGCUGAAGCCUGACGGUACCACCAGAGGAAGCACCGGCCAACUCCGUGCCAGCAGCCGCGGUAAUACGGAGGGUGCAAGCGUUGUUCGGAAUUAUUGGGCGUAAAGAGCGUGUAGGCGGUUCGGUAAGUCAGAUGUGAAAGCCCUGGGCUCAACCCAGGAAGUGCAUUUGAAACUACCAGACUUGAGUACGGGAGAGGAGGGGGGAAUUCCCGGUGUAGAGGUGAAAUUCGUAGAUAUCGGGAGGAAUACCAGUGGCGAAGGCGCCCCUCUGGACCGAUACUGACGCUGAGACGCGAAAGCGUGGGGAGCAAACAGGAUUAGAUACCCUGGUAGUCCACGCCGUAAACGAUGAGCACUAGGUGUAGCGGGUAUUGACCCCUGCUGUGCCGUAGCUAACGCAUUAAGUGCUCCGCCUGGGGACUACGGUCGCAAGACUAAACUCAAAGGAAUUGACGGGGGCCCGCACAGCGGUGGAGCAUGUGGUU
This 965-nucleotide ribosomal RNA is filed under the name uncultured delta proteobacterium. Its description in RNAcentral is "bacterial SSU rRNA". It matches the Rfam family "Bacterial small subunit ribosomal RNA", at positions 8 to 946 of the family's 1533-position model. The record is from RNAcentral. Lineage: Bacteria; Deltaproteobacteria.